RNAcentral lists this ribosomal RNA (258 nucleotides) under Coccomyces sp. T36. RNAcentral describes it as "partial 18S ribosomal RNA". Lineage: Eukaryota; Fungi; Ascomycota; Leotiomycetes; Rhytismatales; Rhytismataceae. The record is from RNAcentral.
CGUAACAAGGUUUCCGUAGGUUAAGUUCAGCCUACCAGAGCAGCCUGUGAAAGAAAAUGCUAGUUGGCCUUGCUGCCAGCGACACGCCCACCUUGCGGAAAAGCCCUGUAUCAGGGAAACCCGCAGCCCGCCUCCCUUACCCGGAGGCUGGUUCAGAGACUCAAUAGGCGUGGGUCUGGCCUCAGCGCCAGGCUUGAGAUAGAGCCCGUCCCCGCUGGCCACGGCGGGGAGCAAACGGAACCUGCGGAAGGAUCAUUA